Chelonia mydas (Green sea turtle) is the source of this 6876-nucleotide long non-coding RNA. RefSeq lists it as uncharacterized. The transcript is spliced from 3 exons. Lineage: Eukaryota; Metazoa; Chordata; Testudines; Cheloniidae. The record is from RefSeq and is a predicted model, not a curated record.
GCCCCAAAGCCCCCAGCCCUUCACACCGGCGCAGCCCCGCUCCCGCCAAGCCAGGUGCCGCCUGGGGAAACCAACCGCCGCCUACAGCCAGUGUAGAGCCUGGGCAGCGAGCGCCCCCGGCCCUGCGCCCCGCAGUGAGCUAUUUGGAUGUAUAGGGUGACACAGUCUAUGCCCUGAAGACCUUGAAAAUCUAUGAAGACAGCGGGUAGCAGCAUGCGAUACAGAAUACAAACCCCUGUUGAGGUUGCCAAGGCCUUGGGGAUGAGAGUGGCCAGAACUGCUUCCUUGUCGACUGAGGUGUAUGGAAACCCAGCAAGUGGAAGGUGGCCUGUGUGUCCUUUAGCCCAAACAGCCUGACAUCUGUCCAACCUCAUCGAACAGGAGGUCCUAGAUUUAGGACUGCAUCUCCCAGGACAGGCCCCCAGCCAAGAACUGCACCUCAUGACCACUGCUGAAGCGACCACCCUGGCCGCCGAAUCAGCUACGUCCCACACCAUUUGGAGGGACCCACUGUAAUACCACUGUAUUACCCUCCUCAAUAAGGGUAAUAAGGGCCCUGAAUUCUUGGUCUGAGUCUUGGGGUAGGGAGUCCCAUAAGUUAAAGUUAUAUGUCCCGAAAAGAGCCUGGUGGUUUGUGACCCUGAACUGAACACUGGCCGAGGAAUAAAUUUUCUUUCAAAAAAUCCUCUUGGCCUCUUUGUUUUUGGGGGUACACUGGAUUGCCCAUCUGUCUUUCUCGUUGGCUGCAGAAAUGACCAACGACCCCAGGGGAGAGUGGGUGUACAAGUAUUCAAACCCAUUGGCUGGGACAAAAUACUUCUUUUCAGCCUUCUUGGAGGUGGGAGAGAUUGCAGACGGGGUUUGCCAGAGGGCUUUGGCAAUCUUUAGACCCCAUCGUACACUGGAAACAUGAUGCAUGCGGGGGUUGAUGCAGAAAGCACAUUAAACAAGGUGUCCAAUUGCUCCGCCAUCUUCUCCACCUCUAGGCCUACAUUCGUGGCCACCUUUCAGAGGAGGGCUUGGUGCUCCUUAAAAUCGUCUGGUGGGCUAGCAUGAGAGGGCCCCGCAACAGCCUCAUCUCGAGAGGAUUAGGACUUCUGGACCACUGGGGGACAGCCUGGGGCUUCAUACCCCAUGGGGGAUGAAGGUUUUGGGGUUGGCACUCACUCGUCCACCGCGGCAUCUGAUUGCACUUCAUGCACCAAUCCCAGUGCUGUCUGUUGCUUUUCUGAAGCAGUUACCGACGAUUGGUGCAAAGGAGUCAUCGGCAUAACCAGCAUAGCCCAGGUCCUCCAGGAUGGCCAAUGCGCCAGCUACUGGCUCUGCUGCCAGGACUGCAUCGCACAGGUGGACGCAGCCUCAGAUGCCCAGUCGUGCUGGUGCUGCCUCAGUGAGGGGCUGAACUCUCUCUCCAUGCCGAAGGAAUCCCCUUCCAGUGACCACGGUCGGACCAUUGACACCUGAGUCUGGUGCUAAGUGUCACCAUGGGUGAACAGUGCCUUGAAUAAGCGGAUCAGUGCCGGGAGUGGGGGGGGGAUCGGUACCGUGUUAGGGAACAUUCCCAUGGUCCAGUUGUCAGCGACCUACAUCGGGGAGACGGUUGGCGGGAGAAUGACCUAAACCGGCCAUACAGUGACCAGCAUGUCUCUCUCUGGGUGAACCUCCUCGAGAGGGUGGUUUCUGGGAGCACAGUGCCAGCGAUCUAAAGUGGAGAACUGGCUUGAUGUGGAGAUCUAGGGCGUGGUGAUUGAGUGCACUGCCUUGGCUCUGGGGUCCAGCAGUGUUCACUCUCCCUCUGGGAGGAUACUAUGGCUGGCUUGCCCUCACAGGAAGCCUUUGCCAGAGCCACUGCAACAUGCAAUGCCAGCUGCGCUAGGAGUGUCCUUUGCUCUCUAGGCACCGGGAAGGCCUGGGAAAGCAGCAGCUCCGCCAAGAGUCUGGGACCCCUACCAUACCCUGGAGACAGUGGCAGAUCCCUUGGGGGGCUAUAAGCCUCCAAAAGGGGGACAGUCUGAUGUGGUUCCAGGGUGGUCGGGCAGCCCAAACAGGGUUCUUUACCCGAUGCCCCUUGUUUUUUCUUCCUCAGUGCCAGGUCACGCUUCUUCAAUUUCUUCUCGGGCAUCAGCGAAGGGGAGAUGUGCCAGGUAGAACCGGCUGCCGGGGGUGCACUACGCAGCGAUGCCAAAGGGCUGGGAGUCUAAUCUGGCCUUGUGCUCCUUCUGUGUUCUGUGACGAAAGUUCUUACAGAUGCGACACUUUUUACAUGUGAUUCCCCCAAGCACUUCAGGCAGCUGCUGUGGGAGUCACUAACAGGCAUAGGCCUGUUACAGUCAGUGCAGGGCUUAAAACCCCGCAACCAGGGCAAAGAACCAAGAGGGCAUAGGGCUGCUGGCGCCUAAUAUACCAACACAUGAGCGAGACACUCUAGAGGGCGCCACAGCUGACCCUACAGAUACCGCUAAGGUGUGCGCACACCUAGAAUGGAAUCCACAUGAGCAAGAACUUGAAGAAGAAUGUAUAUUAUGAAUAGACUAUAUGAUGCUUGCAGUCCCUUCUAACCCUACGGUUCUAUGAUCACAAACAACUUUACAUUACGUUUACUUAAUGAUAGAUUCAACUGUUGAUCAAAUGUUUUUAAGGCUUAAAGAUCCCCUUUCACAAGCCAGCUGUUUAAAGGGAUGCUAUCUGAAUUGGCAAUCAUCAGCUCGAUUGAACUGCAAAACAUAUUUUGACUUACAGAUGUGUUUGUAAAAUGUGGCAUUAGAAACAAAUUUUAAAUUACAGGAAGAGUGUCUUUAUAGCUCUUAAGAGUAAUAUUUACAAUUCUGUAAGCUGCUCCAUCUCAAAGUACAUGAAAAGUCGCAAAAGCAAGCACACAGCAUAAAUGAUAGCUAACUUAAUUACACUUUAUGCUAAGCUUUUACCUAUAUAGAAAAUUUACUGUACAACACAUUAUUAUACAAUACUUUUGAAAGUCAAUCAUUGUUAUAUGAAAAAACUUUUUGUUCUGCAAAACAGAUAUAAAAAUUCAAACAUCAAUAAAAGUUAGACAAAUAAAGAGAGUUUUAAGCUGAGACUGAAAGAGUAGAAGGUACUUUGAGCAGGUUGAAGCAGAACAGAUUUUAAGACAUGAUGGGAUAGCAUCCAGUGUAAAUCAAAGUGCCUCAUUGUAUCUUACUAGCUAAGGGGAAAUCUUGCUUGGUUAGGACCUUGAUGAGAGACAGCUAAAAGGUAUGUCUAUACAGCCAAAAAAACCCCAUGGCAGCAAAUAUCAGAGACCUGGUCAACUGACUCAGGCUCCCAAGGUUUGCACUAUAGGGCUAAAAUAGCUGGAGCUUGGACUUUGAGACAUUUCCCUCUUGCUGAGUUUCAGAACCCUGGCUCCAGCCUGAGCCCAAAUGUCUACAGUGCUAUUUUCAGCCCCACAGUGUGAGCUCAAAGACUCACCACCAAAGGUCUUUUUUGUUUUGUUUUUUUGUCUGUGUAGACAUGCCCUAAAUACUGGAGAAAGUCAAACUGGUAAUUCGGUUCAUGGCAUGUAUCUUUUUCUGAGUCAUGGUUGAACUUAACAACUCACCAUGAUGUUGGGGAGGACUGUUCUGGUAAAAGAUGCCAAAGAUACAUAUUGAUGCCCUAGCUAUUUGGGGUGAAAUUAAAUAUUCCAUGACACUUUUUCAAGGUGAAAUUAAAUAUUCCAUGACACUUUUUCAAGGAUAUGGGUGGUGUUAGACAUAGUAUCCCACGUAAAUUUAAAAUUGAGUAAUUACACUGAAUCUGACUGAAUACUCUUGUACAGUUGAAUAAUGUAUUCUUUCCUUGUCUUAAAACAGCUAUGCCGUAUUAUUGGUGCACUUACGGUUACAGCAUUGCUCUCAAAUAGUGACUGCAUUUUGUUGGUGGAUGAAGUGAAAGUUUUGCAUAUAUGAGGUGUCUUUAGAAUAUGGUAUCAUGAUAAAAAUGUGUAAAAUUAUAGGUAUUGCCAUACUGGAUCAGAUCCAAGGGGCAUCUAGUCCAGUAUCUUGUCUCCAACGGUGGCUAGCACCAGGCACUUCAUAGAAAAGUGCAAGAAACCUUUCAAUAAGCAGAUGUGGGAUAAUCUGUCCUCUAGUUAGUAGUCAGAGAUUAGCAUAAACCCUGAAACAUGGGAGUUUAUAUCCCUUUCCAAAAUUAUAACAUAACUAUGUAUAUAAAAUUGACAUCACAGCAGCAUAACAUAACUGUAGCAUGUUAGUAUUUAACAUUGACACAGUGUCAUGGGGAUGGAUGGCACUGCUCAUAGAUAAACUAAAUACCUCUGUGGGGUCCCUGCCCCAACAAGUUUACUAUCGAAGAGUAAUGUAUUCUUGGUAUUUCCUGUUAUUGUGUUCCUCCAGUACAGUUUUCAAGUUUAUGCUGCCACCCUGUGGCUGGAUAAAGAAAUUAACACUAUUGUUAGUGAACUACUGACGUUGAUAUUACAAAAUUCCAAGCACAGCAGUAGGGACAAUAGCAGCUUUACUUUCUUCACUCACCAACUUCAGACACCACAAUAUAUACAGGUAGUUUAUGAUUCUGAUGUUUCCAAAACAUGAUCUGCAAGCCAAGUAACUGCUGGAGAGUUGCAGGGAGGGAAUACAGAUGUAGCCAAGUCUGAGGAGAGCAUGAGAACUGUCAUAUUUAGGGCCCUACCAAAUUCACAACCAUGAAAAACACAUAACGGACCGUGAAAUCUGGUCUCCUGUGUGCUUUUACCCUACACUAUACAAAUUUCACAGGGGAGACCAGCAUUUCUCAAAUUGGGGGUCCUGACUCAAAAAGGAGUUGCCAGGGGUUACAAGGUUCUUUUAGGGGGGUCGUGGUAUUGCCACCUUUACUUCUACACUGCAUUCGGAGCUGAGUGCCCAGAGAGCAGUGGCUGUUGGCCAGGCACCCAGCUCUGCAGGCAACAGCGCAGAAGUAAGAUGGCAAUACCAUACCAUGCCAUCCUUACUUCUGCAUUGCUGCUGGCAGUGACUCUGCCUUCAGAGCUAGGCUUCCAGCCAGCAGCCACACUGCCCAGCUCUGAAGGCAGGGCUGCUGCCAGCAACAGCGCAGAAGUAAGGGCAGCAGUACUGCAACCCCCACCUACAGUAACCUUGUGACCACCCCAAAACUCCUUUUUGGGCCUACAAUUAUAACUCCAUGAAAUUUCAGAUUUAAAUAGGUGAAAUCAUGAAAUUUACCAUUUUUAAAUUCCUAUGACAGUGAAAUUGACCAAGCUGAAGAGUCCCCAUCUUUUUAAUCCCUGUUCAAUACCCCUAAUCAUUUUAUUGCCUUUCUCUGCACCUUUUCCAAUUCCAAUAUACCCUUCUAGAGAUGGGGCAACCAGAUAUGUACGCAGUAUUCAAGAGAUGGGCGUAUCAUGGAUUUAUAUAGAGGCAUUAUGAUAUUUUCUGUCUUGUUAUCUAUCCCUUUCAGCAGCUGAAUAUAAACCAAAAAGAUAGGAUGCAGCAUACCCAGAGACUUGAGAAGUAGGAAGGCAAUUUUGAAACUAAUUCAGAAAAGGUGAUUGUAGGAUGUGUGUGUCAUUUGAAUAUGGUUUACAUUAGGAACACAUGCUUACAGCAUCUUAUUCCAUGGAGGAAAAACAACAAACGUUUAUAGCUUAUCUUAAGGUAUUUAUAUUAUCAUCGUAUCUAAGUGCAUCACAGUUGUCAGUGUAUAGAAAUACAUUCCAUGUGUAGUAUGGAAUAUUAUUAUCCCCAUUUACAGAUGGGGAACUGAGACACAAAGAUUAAGACUCAGAUUUUAAAGCUAUUUAGGUGUUGCUGUGUUUAGCAUCACAAAAUCCAACUGAUUUAGAAGCCUAAAUCUCAUUUAGGAGUGAGGAUUUUGGUACUUAGGAUUCUAAAUUCCAUCAUCAAAACAGUUGUUAUACCAUUAUACAAAUGGGUAAACAUUAUGGCAAAGAGGUUGAUUGAGCAGUGCAAGCUACCAUAACAAUGAGUGAAUGAUAGAGCAAGAAAUGGACCCAUUAUCCACAAAUUGAACUAUUUUCAGGUUUAUUGUACAGGAGAAGGUUUUAUGUGCUUGCAAUGCUGUCUACCAGCUCUGUGACGCAGACAGACCAGCACAAAUCAGAGCAACAGGGCAAUUCACUUAUGUAUGUAUAUCAAACAAAUGCUAAAAGGUCAUAAUAAGUUCAAGCCAAUUCACUUGUUAGAAUAGAACAAAGGGGGGUGUUAUCGAAUUACAAUUUACUUGGCAGGUGCCUGGUAAUUACAUUUGCUUAAAUGCAUGAAAGCUAGUGAAAUGGUAAUGUUAUUGUCUACACCAAUCUGUUUCCUGUGAUUGCUAUCUUGUACUUAAUUAGAUUUAAAUUGAAAUAUGUCUUAGUGUUUAGAUGUAAAUGUACUUGAUGUGUAACACUGCAUGAAAACUAAUGAAUUGUUUCUGGCUAUCACAUUGUGUCUACAUUAUGUUUACCCAUACAAGAUUGGAGAGUUGGAAAUUUAAAUGAAGAAGGCUGCUGACUUCAAAGCAAGAGCCAUUGUUUUAUUGAAUGGGGUUCACAGCCGCAGGCUGCAUUUCCUAAUCUUCAUCAGCAAAGGAAGCACCCAUGUGGGUCAAGAGGCUUGUCAGCUUUCCUUAUGUGAGCCUGAUGUAUAAAUACUGAUUCAAUGGAAUGAUUCUGCAUCUCUGGACUGAUGAAUUCUGACAGGGUGGAAUUCUGAGUGGUUGGACCGAGAUUGCUAGAUCCAUUCUAGGUAACCCUGAGAGACUAUUGGAAACCAGCAAAUUACUACCCCUCUGCCAUCAUAUUGGACCUACAAACUUUGAUUCAUCUGUAAUGUAUUUUACCUGCUUUAGCUUUUCAAUAACUCAUUUCUUUUUCUUAACUAAUAAAUCUUUAGUUUA